GACGAACGCUGGCGGCGCGCUUAACACAUGCAAGUCGAACGGAAAGGCCUGCUUUCCCUUGUGGAUUGCGGGUACUCGAGUGGCGAACGGGUGAGUAACACGUGAGUGAUCUGCCCCCAACUUGGGUAUAAGCCUGGGAAACUGGGUCUAAUUCCCGAUAGGACUGCAGGGUGGUGCCUGUGGUGGAAAACGAUUUUCUAGUGGUUGGGGAUGAGCUCGCGGCCUAUCAGCUUGUUGGUGGGGUAAUGGCCUACCAAGGCGGCGACGGGUAGCCGGCCUGAGAGGGUGGACGGCGACAUUGGGACUGAGAUUCGGCCCAGACUCCUACGGGGGGCAGCAGUGGGGAAAAUUGCACAAUGGGCGGAAGCCUGAUGCAGCGACGCCGCGUGGGGGAUGACGGCCUUCGGGUUGUAAACUCCUUUCGACCGCGAGGAAGCCACCUGGUUGGAAGGGUGGUGACGGUAGUGGUAGAAGAAGCACCGGCUAACUACGUG
RNAcentral lists this ribosomal RNA (494 nucleotides) under uncultured bacterium. RNAcentral's name for it is "partial 16S ribosomal RNA". It matches the Rfam family "Bacterial small subunit ribosomal RNA", at positions 28 to 507 of the family's 1533-position model. The record is from RNAcentral.